AGUUUAAAACGACAUUUUUAUUAGGGAGGUUCUUUGUAACUGCCAUAAUUUUCUGUAUUUUCGGCGGUACAUGUUGUCGUAACUUCCUUUUUGAAUAUGGCAGUUUUUGUGAUUUCGACGGUUAGAACCACCGAUAUAUUAUUUUAUUAAUUAAAGAAAAACCUCAUUUAUGCAAACCUAGCUUAGCAAGUAGAGUGCGCGAGAGUGAGUGUUCUCCUCCAGCGAUGCCUCAUCAGAGUUCAUAGCUUCCAUUGAUGUGAUCUGCGUUCUCACUUCUAGCAUGUAAGCCCAACACAGAGGUUUUAAAUUGAAUGCUCCAGAUGAAAGAGUGAUUAGUGUUGCUGCGUAUGAGAAAGUGAGUGAUGUGAAUGAUGGACCCUAAUCUCUUGUCCCCGUUCAUCUUCCGCAGCUAUCGUUCAUCUCGUCAUUGUUUCUCAUCCCCUUGCGCCACCAAUUAGAUCUUCCAAAAUUUUUUACGGCCUCUUUGAUUGGGAAUUCAUUGUGAAAUGCAAAUCGUUGAUUAAACAAUCAAGGAAUCGGAUCAGAUAAGGAGAAAGAGGAAUUCAUCAAAGAAGUUUCGUAAGCGAGACACCAUUGAUCUGCUUGCGAAUCAUUUAUAGGUUGCUUACAAUAGAGUAAUUGAUUUAUUUUUUCUACUUCUGUUUCAUGAAAUUUAGGAAACCUGUAUGUAUAAACUAGCGGUUUUAUUCUUUAAUUGUAAUUACUUUCGUAUACAAUUAGUAAACCACGGUGUUUGAUAUAUGAAUUACUAUAGUUGUUAUUAUACUGAGCUAGGACCAAAUAUAAAGUCUGAGUCUAUUUUAACAUUUUUAAUCAAUUUUUAGUAUUGAGUGAAGAAGUAAAAACAUAAAAAUGAGAAUUUUGCUUGUGUCUCUUAGAUGUCAAAUCCCUUUUUAUGCGUGUCUUGUGAAUUUAAAUGCAUCACAUACAUUUUAUAAUCUAGAUCAGUAGUAAAAACACCCAAAAAAUCCUAAUAUACUUGAAUCUCUUCUGAUAUUUUAAGUCAUGUAAACAUUAUGCAUGAAAAUCACUUGCUAUUUGAAUGUUCAUUAUAAUGAUGGUAAAUGGUUAGGGAUGUACUUUAUUUACAUAUGAACAAUUGGAUAUUGCUGAUAAGAGGCUUUGGAAUUGAAAAGGAAAGAACUCAUGAGAAGCACAAAGAAGUGCAGACGCGGCAAUUAUAGGUGGCUUGAAUUCCAAAAACUUUAUCUCUGCAUUAUCAUAGCAUAAGAAGCAAGCACUAUUAUUCAUUAUUAUUUGGUUUUUUGCAAGUUUGUUCACUGGUAUUGAUGAUCCAUAUGAACCACCAAGUAGUUAUGAAGUAUGUAUUUCAGUAUUUAUAUGUAGUUGUUAUGUUGUGUGUAUACCUGGUAUCUUUGAAGGAGGAAAAUACUAAUUAGCUGAGAAAGCACUUCGAAUGCACUUAGUCCUUUUUCAUUUUCUGCACCAGCAAAUUCUAGAUUUGCCUUUAAGAAUAUUGAUGUCACAUUUGUGGUGUCCAUGACAAAACAUUAAGGAGAAUCCAUAGGGGACUGGAAUUACUUGGGUGAUCUUGCUUGUUUACAAAGGACUGUAUGGCGAAGGUGACUCAGUGAAGCGAGAGUUUGCAGCAGCUUCUAGUUACUAUUUACAAGCUAAUUCUCUAUGGCCUUCUAGUGGAAAUUCCCAUCAUCAGGGGAGAGUGAUGUGAACGACGAACCCUAAUCUCUUGUCGUCGUUCAUCUUCCACCUCUCUCAUACAUCUCUUUGCUGCCGCCCGUUGCAGCUCAUCUCCUCGUCAGCGUCGCCGCUGCAAACAAGGUCGUUGUUGUUGCCUUCAACGAGCUCUGCGAUUUGGUUGCGCCUUCUUUGUCACUUCCAAUAGUUUAUGAUCUCGUAGGAAUAAAUAGAUAAUGCUUGCUCACUGAGUCACGCCAGUAAAUCAGAUCUACGAAAAUGUUCGACGGCAUCCUCGGUCAAAGAUUCUUCGCGAAAUGGUUCCGUACUUUGAUUUCUUUUUCCUUCUUCAUGCCUUUCAAUUAUUGCGGUUAUGCUGAUUAUGAUUUUCAAUUUCUUAUUUUAUCUGCUUUUAUUUUUUCUGUGAAUCGUUGAUUAAACAGACAAAGUUUAGAAUCCAAUCAAUGUGAUAAGGAGAAAGAGGACCGCGAUGGAGAAGUUUGUUAAGAUUUUCUUACAAUAGUCUUUUUUACUGUUUUUUUUAGGAAAUUUGUUGAUUCGAUUGUGAUAGAUGGAUGAGAUUCUUCACUGGAGUUGAUAUAUGAAUUCAUCAAUACACAACUUCAGAAGAAUGUGCUAGUUUUAAUCUUUCGUGAUUCAACGAUAGUCAAAAGAUUUUGAGACAUUGUUUUGUUUUUAGAAUGUAAAUUGAUCGAGCUGAGAAAAUGUUUCUAUUUCUAAAAUUUGAUGCAUAUGAAUGAUGAAAGAUUCUGAUGUUAGUAUUCUUGUUUAGUUGGAAGUGAAUUUUGGAGAGCAUCUAUAAAGUUGUGUAGAAGGUUAGGUAUUUGUCUUGCACUCUUGCUUGUUUACUAUCUUUGUUCUAUAUGCAAUUUUUUAUUACAAGAAAGAAGUAGGUUUUGGAAACCACUUUAUGUCGUAGUUUCUAUGCUUUGCUGAUAUGCUCAGGUUUUUCUUUAAGUCCAUUCUCAAGAAAUAUGGAAAAGACCUUUUUAACCAAUGUGUUUCAACAACUAGAGGUAAUUAUAUUUGGAGCAUAAUUUUUAUUAGCAUGCUGGAUGAUUUUUUUUUCUUUUUCUGUUUGUUUUGAACUAUGAUAACAAACUGUUUAUGUGUGAUGCAUUGAGAACUUGGCUCUAUUAAUCAAAUUUGUUCUAACCAAGAUUUGAACUGUCCAUAUUUUCUUUGAUUCAAUUUUUAAUUAUCAUAGAUUCAUAUAAAAGCAUGCAAGAAAAUAUCCUGGCUUCUUGCUAUUCAGUGACCUCCGUAUUUAUAGCUCUUUUCUUUUACAUGGAGGAUCUUGUAAUAUUCAUUUAGAGACUUUUUAUGAACUUUAUUUUCUGCUUGCACUAUUGUGCAAGCUAAAAUUGUUAUUGUGUGUGCUUUAAUUUUCAUCAUACAAUUUUAGACUCUGUUGUGUAUACUUAUUGCUAAUGGAUGUUUCUAUGUGAUUUUAGAUUUUAAAAAAUAAUAGUGAUGGAUCUAAGAAUGGGUCCUUGCUGCAAAUUAUGAAUCGCACCCUUACUAUAUUCGGUUCUAGGCUUCUUAGGCAUUGGGUAUCUCAUCCAUUAUGGGAUCAGACCAUGAUUUCUGCUUGUCUUCAUGCUGUAUCUGAAAUUGCAGAAUCCAUGAAAUCGUGUAGCAAAUAUUGGAGCUUUAUUUGUUUUGUUGAGCUGAACCAUUUCAAGAAUGUUCCUGAUUUGGAGUUUAGUUUCCAGCAAGACUCUGAGUCAAAGCUAAUUAAAAGGCUUUGACUACUAAUAUACAUCAACAGUUAAUUAAAAAGCAAUGAUGGUUAUGAAAUCACUUGUAAAUGCAUCCCUGGUUAACAAGAAGUGGAGGGAAUGAGAUUGAAGGAGAUGGAAGCCAACUUGACAUGGGAAUGCUCGACUUCAACAGGGUCAAGGCUUCGGUGGGCAAAGGAAGGGACUUGUCACAAACAAAAUAUGUGACUGAUCUUUUGUCCAUUCAUUCCCACAGCUAAAUAUGAUACAGUAUUAAAAUUUAUAUAAUCAAGACUUCGAUCGUUGUUGAUUUUGUGUCGAAUCUCAAAUUUGGAUAAUUAUUAUUCAUAAUUGAGAUGGUUUUGUAGUCAUAUAUAUCUAUCAUGGCAGUGGGCUUGAACAAUAGUAUUUCUAUUUUAUUUGUAAUUCAUUAAUUCCAGAAUUGUGUUCUUUAUUUAAAUAUGAUUUCAUGGUUGGUGCUGAUUGUUGCAAUCACACUAUGUUUUGUUGCUCUGUUCCUUCAAAGAACAACUCCAACAACAUGUUUGUGUCCAUGCAAUGGAAGCAAUAAUGGCUUGCUGGGAGAUUGAGCAAUCCUUAAAAAAUCUAACAGGAAAAAGUUGGGCGUGAAAAUAAGCACUUUAGAAGCAAAUAAUUAAGACAAAAGAAGGAUUGGAGUGAGGACAGAGAUUAUUAUGACAAAGUGCACCAAAAGCUAUGAUGGAAAUU
Molecule: non-coding RNA, 4148 nt
Organism: Arachis ipaensis
Lineage: Eukaryota; Viridiplantae; Streptophyta; Magnoliopsida; Fabales; Fabaceae
Source: RefSeq, a predicted model, not a curated record